GUGUCAGCAGCCGCGGUAAUACGUAGGUGGCAAGCGUUGUCCGGAAUUAUUGGGCGUAAAGCGCGCGCAGGCGGUUUCUUAAGUCUGAUGUGAAAGCCCACGGCUCAACCGUGGAGGGUCAUUGGAAACUGGGAGACUUGAGUGCAGAAGAGGAGAGUGGAAUUCCACGUGUAGCGGUGAAAUGCGUAGAGAUGUGGAGGAACACCAGUGGCGAAGGCGACUCUCUGGUCUGUAACUGACGCUGAGGCGCGAAAGCGUGGGGAGCGAACAGGAUUAGAUACCCCUGUAGUCC
This 292-nucleotide ribosomal RNA is filed under the name uncultured bacterium. RNAcentral's name for it is "partial 16S ribosomal RNA". It matches the Rfam family "Bacterial small subunit ribosomal RNA", at positions 505 to 796 of the family's 1533-position model. The record is from RNAcentral.